Molecule: long non-coding RNA, 2873 nt
Organism: Oncorhynchus tshawytscha (Chinook salmon)
Lineage: Eukaryota; Metazoa; Chordata; Actinopteri; Salmoniformes; Salmonidae
Source: Ensembl
GUGGAGGGGAAUGAAGAGGGGUGAAGAGGAAAGAAGAGGGGUGGAGGAAUGAAGAGGGGUGAAGAGGAAUGAAGAGGGGUGGAGGGGAAUGAAGAGGGGUGAAGAGGAAUGAAGAGGGGUGGAGGGGAAUGAAGAGGGGUGAAGAGGAAUGAAGAGGGGUGAAUAGGAAAGAAGAAGGGUAAGGGAAUGAAGAGGGGUGAAGUGGAAUGAAGAGGGGUGGAAGAGGAAUGAAGAGGGGUGAAGUGGAAUGAAGAGGGGUGAAGAGGAAUGAAGAGGGGUGGAGGGGAAUGAAGAAGGGUGAAGGGGAAUGAAGAGGGGUGAAAAGGAAUGAAGAGGGGUGGAGGGAAAUUAAGAGGGGUGAAGAGGGUUGAAGAAGGUUGAAGAGGGGUGAAGAGGGAUGAAGAGGGGUGAAGAGGGGUGGAGGGGAAUGAAGAAGGGUGAAGGGUGAAGGGGAAUGAAGAGGGGUGAAGAGGAAUGAAGAGGGGUGAAGAGGAAUGAAGAGGGGUGAAGAGGGUUGAAGAAGGUUGAAGAGGGGUGAAGAGGGAUGAAGAGGGGUGAAGAGGGAUGAAGAGGGGUGAAGAGGAAUGAAGAGGGGUGAAGAGGGGUGAGGAAGGCUGAAGAGGAAUGAAGAGGGGUGAAGAGGGGUGAGGAAGGCUGAAGAGGGGUGAAAAGGGGUGAGUGAGGAGAGCUGAAGAGGGCUGAAGAGGAGUGAAGAGGGGUGAGUGAGAAGGGCUGAAGAGGGGUGAGGGUUGAGUGAGGGGAGGGUGAGGUUGUCUGGUUGUCUGGGGGUCAGAGGGGUGAAGGGGGCAGAAGUGGCUAUGGCCAAGGGGAUGGGUGGUAGGGGGUGCAGGGGGUAAAUCAGUUUUCUAAAGUCUCACAGGAAGUCCUGUGGAACAGUGUCUGACAUCCCUUCCUGUUGCGACAGACACAGUUGAUUGGCAGUGCUGCGGUGAUCCCCUCUAAAACCUGUCCUGGAUCAGCCACCGCCGUCCAAAAUAACAAAAUAACUUUAUCGACAUCAGUUGGUUGGUGACAACAGUGCAGACAGAUAAACGGGGCUUCAUGGCAGUGUGAAUGUUGCUCUAGGCUUGGAGCUGAUAGGUGGACUGACGCCCUCAUUUGAGAACUCACAGGGAAUCAGGAAGGGAGAAGCAGAUGUGAUUGGUUUGUAUUGGGAGAGAGGCGGAGACUGGGGAGUGGACAGCACCAAAACAUGUCGGACAGUGAUAGCCGUUUGGGUGGGUAGGGAGUCAAACAGCUGUGUGUGUGUGUGUGUGCGUGCGACAUUGUGUGUAUUUACGACAAUAGUAGGCUGAGUAUAUCUCAAUAAUGAUAUAGGUUGAUCCCAUCGAUCUUGUACUGUGUUGGUCAGCCAUUUGUCACUCUAAGCAUUGUCAUUGUGUAUAUGGAUGUGUACUAUAGAAGUGAGAGUAUGUGUGUGUGUGUCAGUAAAUGUACAUGUGAGAGUAUGUCUAGGUGAGUGUGUGUGUAACCCUGUACAAUGUCUGUGCGAUGCAAGUCCCUGUGUGUAGAGUGGCGGUAGGGGGGUCAGGCUCAGACUGGGAUGAGACUCCGCCUGGGAGAUAGGGGUCAUCCUGGUUUGGGGGCCAGUAGUUGAAGUUGGGAGGUUAUAGCUGGGUUUAGUGGGCAGUAGUUGAAGUUGGGAGGUUACAGUGGGGAUUAGCGGGCAGUAGUUGGAGUUGGGAGGUUAUAGCUGGGUUUUGUGGGCAGUAGGUGAAGUUGGGAGGUUAUAGCUGGGUUUAGUGGGCAGUAGUUGAAGUUGGGAGGUUAAAGUGGGGAUUAGCGGGCAGUAGUUGGAGUUGGGAUGUUAUAGCUGGGUUUAGUGGGCAGUAGUUGAAGUUGGGAGGUUAUAGCUGGGUUUAGUGGGCAGUAGUUGAAGUUGGGAGGUUACAGCUGGGAUUAAUUUUCAGUAGUAGAAGUUGGGAGGUUAUAGCUGGGUUUAGUCGGCAGUAGUUGAAGUUGGGAGGUUACAGUGGGGUUUAGUGGGCAGUAGUUGAAGUUGGGAGGUUAUAGUGGGGAUUAGCGGGCAGUAGUUGGAGUUGGGAGGUUAUAGCUGGGUUUAGUGGGCAGUAGUUGAAGUUGGGAGGUUAUAGCUGGGUUUAGCGGGCAGCAGUUGAUGUUGGGAGGUUAUAGCUGGGUUUAGCGGGCAGUAGUUGAAGUUGGGAGAUUAUAGCUGGGUUUAGUGGGCAGUAGUUGAAGUUGGGAGGUUAUAGCUGGGUUUAGUGGGCAGUAGUUGAAGUUGGGAGGUUAUAGCUGGGUUUAGUGGGCAGUAGUUGAAGUUGGGAGGUUAUAGCUGGGUUUAGCGGGCAAUAGUUGAAGUUGGGAGGUUAUAGCUGGGUUUAAUGGGUAAUAGUUGAAGUUGGGAGGUUAUAGCUGGGUUUAGUCGGCAGUAGUUGAAGUUGGGAGGUUACAGUGGGGUUUAGUGGGUAGUUAAAGUUGGGAGGUUAUAGCUGGGUUUAGUGGGCAAUAGUUGAAGUUGGGAGGUUAUAGCUGGGUUUAGCAGGCAGUAGUUGAAGUUGGGAGGUUACAGCUGGGUUUAGCGGGCAGUAGUUGAAGUUGGGAGGUUAUAGAUGGGUUUAGCGGGCAGUAGUUGAAGUUGGGAGAUUAUAGCUGGGUUUAGUGGGCAGUAGUUGAAGUUGGGAGGUUAUAGCUGGGUUUAGUGGGCAGUAGUUGAAGUUGGGAGGUUAUAGCUGGGCAGUAGUAGAAGUUGGGAGGUUACAGCUGGGUUUAGUGGGCAGUAGUUGAAGUUGGGAGGUUAUAGCUGGGUUUAGCGGGCAGUAGUUGAAGUUGGGAGGUUAUAGCUGGGUUUAGUGGGCAGUAGUUGAAGUUGGGAGGUUACAGCUGGGUUUAGU